CAUCUCUCCAGGCUUAGAACAACCAGAUGGCUCUCACCAGGGCUCACCCUGUCUCUGGUUCCCUCAACAGAAGCCUUUCAUCAGCAUCCCAGCCAGGCUGCCCUCACCGAGGGCUCCUGCCACGCUAGAAGACCUGGACAUGUUCCCAGAGGCUAAGGUUGGGUCACAGGAAUCAGGCUGUCGCCUUGAAUAGGCUUGCCUUCCCUCCUCCUCUGCUCGGCCAUGGUGGUGGAGAUGAGAGCUGCUCUUUCUACCCCAAAGGACCUACAGGUAGGGUGGGCCCCGAUGCUGUCUUGCACCUGUCUAUGCCAUGCUACCUUCUUUCUUUCUUUCUUUCUUUCUUUCUUUCUUUCUUUUGCACUAGGGAUCGAACUUACAACCUCAGGCUUGCCAGGCAGGCGCUUAUGCCCCUGAGCUAAAUCCCCAGCUGUGACCUUCUUUCUUCUUAAGCAGGGAAUGCACUUGUAUGAAAUAGGAACAUGUGCUCAGCUGGAGCUGGGAGAGGAAAGAAGGAUUUUGCCAUUGAAAGAAGAAAGUGACCAAAAUGUGGAGAGCCAAAAGAUCCCAGAGAGGCAGGCCUGGUAUACAGGAGUCACAGAUACCAUCCCAGGCCACCCAUGACAAAGGGAGCCUUGGCUGGGGGCCCACUGGUCCCACGCACCUUCCUCCUCACUCUCACCCUGCUCCUUUGGUCCAGGACUUCGUGGGGGAUCUCAGUGCAGGCCGCAGCAGCCCCAGGGAAGGAAGAAGUUGCUGCCGCGGGCAUCAUGAGGUUGGUGUUUAUUGAUCGGCUGCCUUUAGCCAGCACCACCACAGGGAAGAGGCAGCUGUGCCCUCAGAACCCGCAGCUGCCAGGCAACAGCACGGCUGCUCAGCUGCCUACAAAGCACCUGCCAUUUUUACUGUGUACCAAACCCCGCUUCCUAUUAGACUGCACUCUCAGUUACAGAGAACUCUAACCCAGAGGGAGAACUGUAAAUGAUCACACGCUGUGUUGAGGAUCAUCCAAAAAUCUGCCACACAAAGUUUAAGAAACCAGUGAAGCCUUUGAUUUCUUUAAAAAUGUUAAGUGGUUUUGUGAUGGCGCAGGCCUGGGCUCCCCGUGGAACUGAGCCUGCUGGCAGGCACUGGGGAGCUGGGGAGCGAGCAGGGGAGUGGUAGGUGAGCAACAGCUGCGAAAGCAGCCUCACGUCCAGCGGAGAACAGAAGCUCGGCUCAGCUAGUCUCUAGGAAGAGCUCCAUGUCUGCCCGGCCCAAUCAGAAAAGAAGCUAAACCCAAACUUCACCCACCCUGGCAAGAGAAUUUCUGAGAAGAGCAGAAAUUAUAUGGUUGGCUUUUGCUCCAUCACCAACCCAGCCAUCCUGCGACCUAACCUGGGAGCCCUUCUCAGCCUUCCAGGUGCUCAGAGGAAGGCAGGCAGGAAAAACUGUCACCACCAACUGAGCGCAGUGUGGCCAGAAAGACCACACACACUGCGCCAGGCAGAACGCUAAACACCCUCUAUGCAUGAUCUCUCUUAAUAUCUCCUCCUUUCAUCCACAUAAUCAGUCUUUCUGCUGUGACAAAGGUACCCUAAGUAUCUUCAUUUUCCGAAUGAGGAAACCAAGACUCGGAGAGUAUACAGCUGGUAAAGAACAGAAAUUUUUCUUUUUUUCCCUUUCUUUUCUUUUCUUCCUGGUACCAAAAGUCUUCGUGUUACAGGCAGCUGAGUUAGUUAGAAAUACUCUAGGCAGUCAGACAGGGCUAGGUCCUCCAAGGAGCCAGUGCCUUGCAACUGUGCCCAGGUACCUUGCAACUGUGGGGAGACAGACACCUCCUUCUGUGGGUCAGGCCUCAAGACAAAAGAUCAAACAAAUGCACCCACAUCCUAAGGACUGAUAUUCUAACUAGUCUCCACCACUCUGAGGAAAUCAGGAGUCACCAUCCCAACCCCCGGCUGGAAGAGUCCCUGCUCCCUAAGAAUGCCUGCUUUCUACAUGACUCUCUUCCCCAUUUUUUCUUAAUUUAAUCAAUUGUACCUGAACAGUUAACCUUAUUGGUUAACUAUAGCUCUGCCCCACCUUACGCCCAUCUGCCUUGGGAGUUCCCCGUUUUCCCCACCUUGAAUCCGUCUCACCCCAUGAUUUUACUCUGUAAAACUCCCUGGAAAAGGCAGAAUCUCUGGUGACCAGCUCGGGGCCCCUUCUGUCUCUCUCAGACAGAACCUUCCUUUCUUUCAAUCAGUAUAUUCUGCUCUUAACCUCCAUUGUUUCUAAAAUUCAUCCUUUGGUUUUAAAGAACAUGAACUCGUACCGGACAUACAGGAGGUUGGGACUUUCAUCCCCCUACAUCAUUUGCACUUAGCUACAUCCCCAACCCUUUUUUAAUUUUUUACUUUGAGACAGAGUCUCACUAAGUCACUUAUCUGGGCUGGGCUUGAACUUUUGAUCUCAGAAGUGCUGGCAUUAUAGGUAUUUGCCACCAUGCGCAGCUCUUAGCCACACAAUGCCUUUGAAAGGAGAAAGGGGGCUGUUUCAAUCUGUUUCUACCUGGGAUUGACCCAUCUCCGGACUCCGAGGGUAGAAGAGGCAUUCUCUCCUCUAAGCUUACGACGAAAGGCCUCCCUUCCUGGCAUUCAAUCCAUAAUGCAAGCCAGACUCAUUUUGUUAAUGCCUUGAUCUUGAUAUGAAAAUGCACAUGACACUCUAAGCCACCUCCUCAGUCUGGCCCAGACAGUGUGCCAACCUGCCCCAGCCCUCCCUCCCCAACCCUACCGCAAGCCAUGCAGUGUUCACCUGCUGAUUGAAAUAAUGCAAUUAGGGUUAUAGAAAAUCCAUUCCACAUGGUGCCAUCUGCAUUCUCUUCUGACAACUAAUUUGAUUGGCUCUCCGUAAUCAAUAAAGCACUCACACGACA
This is a long non-coding RNA of Cavia porcellus (domestic guinea pig), 2896 nucleotides long. RefSeq lists it as uncharacterized. The transcript is spliced from 2 exons. The record is from RefSeq and is a predicted model, not a curated record. NCBI's taxonomy places the organism in Eukaryota, Metazoa, Chordata, Mammalia, Rodentia, Caviidae.